AACAAACGCUGGCGGCGUGCCUAACACAUGCAAGUCGUACGAGAAAGUUGGCUUCGGCCAAUGAGUAAAGUGGCGCACGGGUGAGUAACGCGUGGAUAAUCUGCCCCUCAGUUGGGAAUAACUCAUCGAAAGGUGAGCUAAUACCGAAUAACACUGUGAGACUUUGGUCGAUCAGUUAAAGGGAGCCUCUGCUUGCAAGCUUUCGCUGAAGGAUGAGUCCGCGUACCAUUAGCUUGUUGGUAGGGUAAUGGCCUACCAAGGCGACGAUGGUUAGCGGGUCUGAGAGGAUGAUCCGCCACACUGGAACUGAAACACGGACCAGACCUCCUACGGGAGGCUG
Molecule: ribosomal RNA, 340 nt
Filed under: uncultured Pseudomonadota bacterium
Lineage: Bacteria; Pseudomonadati; Pseudomonadota
Description: bacterial SSU rRNA
Rfam family: Bacterial small subunit ribosomal RNA
Source: RNAcentral